This is a long non-coding RNA of Homo sapiens (human), 3479 nucleotides long. RefSeq annotates it as FDX2-ZGLP1 readthrough (NMD candidate). The record is from RefSeq and is marked validated. The transcript is spliced from 8 exons. Lineage: Eukaryota; Metazoa; Chordata; Mammalia; Primates; Hominidae.
GAGUCACGUGAUGCAUGUCAUGGCCGCCUCCAUGGCCCGGGGAGGCGUGAGUGCCAGGGUUCUACUGCAGGCUGCCAGGGGCACCUGGUGGAACAGACCUGGGGGCACUUCCGGGUCGGGGGAGGGGGUGGCGCUGGGGACAACCAGAAAGUUUCAAGCGACAGGCUCGCGCCCGGCUGGAGAGGAGGACGCGGGCGGCCCGGAGCGGCCCGGGGACGUGGUGAACGUGGUGUUCGUAGACCGCUCAGGCCAGCGGAUCCCAGUGAGUGGCAGAGUCGGGGACAAUGUUCUUCACCUGGCCCAGCGCCACGGGGUGGACCUGGAAGGGGCCUGUGAAGCCUCCCUGGCCUGCUCCACCUGCCAUGUGUAUGUGAGUGAAGACCACCUGGAUCUCCUGCCUCCUCCCGAGGAGAGGGAAGACGACAUGCUAGACAUGGCCCCCCUCCUCCAGGAGAACUCGCGGCUGGGCUGCCAGAUUGUGCUGACACCGGAGCUGGAAGGAGCGGAAUUCACCCUGCCCAAGAUCACCAGGAACUUCUACGUGGAUGGCCAUGUCCCCAAGCCCCACUGACAUGAACACCUGGACCAUUCCACAUUGCCAUGGCCCCAGGGCCCAGAUUGAGGGAAUAGCCAGGUGCCAGCCCUGCCCAGAGUGCGGACAGGCCCGGGAGAGACGUGGAAGCCCCUGUGAAGGACAACACCCCUGCUUGGGAGAGAGUCCCAUGUCCAGGCUCUGGUGGGGACAGGGCCCCUAGUGGGGUGGCCUUCCCCAGGCCCCUGAGAAUCAGGGUUUGAGUAGGAGUGGACUCAUAUUGGAGCUGCAAUAAAUCGAUAACACAGGCCCCAGCAUGUUGAGUGUCCUUGGGGGACAGAUCUGGGGUCUACAGGUGGCUCACACCUGUAAUCCUAGCACUUUGGGAAGCCAAGAUGGGAGGAUCACUUGAGGCCAGGAGCUUAAGACCAUCCUGGGCAACAUGGCGAGACCUCGUCUCUAUAAAAACAGUAAAAAUUAGCGUGGAGUGGUGGUAAGUGCCUGUAGUCCCAGCUACUCGGGAGACUGAGGUGGGAGGAUCACUUGAGCCCAGGGGAUUUAGGCUGCAGUGGAGCGGUGAUCAGGCCAUUCCACUCCAGCCUGGGUGACAGAGUGAGGCCCUGUCUCAAAAAAAAAAAAAACAAAAACAAAAACAAACCACACCUGCAUCUGCUGUGCUGGGCCCCCGGUUCUCUUUUCCCUCUGGGAUCUAAGAUGCCGCUGGGGAUCCAAGGCAGAGGCCUGGGAGCCCCCAUUUCCGAGGGGGAGGGCUAGCGUGGAAGGCCCCGCCCCGGCAGCUGCGGAGGGAUUUGGUGGGGUCCAGGCCGCCCUUGCCACGCAGGGGUGCGCGGAUGACCUGAAAAAAGCCAGAAAGAGGAAAGGUGCCGCCGAGGCUGGUCGCUCUCAGCUGGGGCUCAUCGCAUCCUCUACCAAGAGCGCUCCCACCACACAGGUCCCGCCCCUCCCAGGUGGGUUUCAUCGGGUGGGCCCAGCGGGACAGGGCCGGGUGAAAUUAGGGAGGGGGCUGGGCUGGGGCGCAAUGGAGGCCGAGCCAAUCCCGGACUCCUCAAUGCCAGCAAAGCUUCUGGCGCCGCCCUGUCUGAACCUGGAGCGGCUGGGAGGAUCCCCCUCCCAGGAGAAGCCGAGGACCCCAGGAUGCUGCAGAAUCAGUGAGAGGUGCGUAAGGCCAAACCCCAUUCCCCGGACCCCGCUAGCACUUCACCACCUGGCUCAGUGAUCAAGGGGUCAUGACCUCUCUUUGCUGGGGUUAUCGAGAAGUGGCAAUUUUAUAAUAGUUACUGAAACUUACAAAGAGGUUCUGGUGCCCAGAGACACUUGGGGUCAUCUAGGGAUCAGAGGCCAUGCAAUUCCAUGUCUCUGGGGCUGAUGUAGGCACUCCCCAGGGAUCAUCCAGGGGUUAUGGAGGGCAACUCAAUAAUAAUGAAAAUGAUAAAAAUCGUAAUCAUAUUAUGGCAAGCCAGCGGCGUGGUGGCGCGUGCCUGUAAGUCCCAGCUACUCGGGAGGCUGAGGCGGAAGGAUCGGUCGAGCCCAGGAGUUCUAGGCUGCACUGAGUCCUGAUCACGCCCCUGCACUCCAGGCGGGGGUACAGAGUGAGGCUCGGUCUCUAAAAGAAACACAAAGAAAAAAAGUAACCUUUUUCUCGAUCCUGCAGCCAGAGGCUUGAUAUCCUGCCUCGGUCACCUAGGGCGGUCCCUGCCUGGGUGAUCUACGGGUGCCGUAAGGGGUUGAUUGAUGUGGAGGGCUGGGCGUGCCUGGGAGGCCCACAGUGGGCGAGGUGAGUUGCAAUUACUGCAACUCUUAAACCUUCCACCCAGAGUUAGAAAUGACUGAACCUCAGGUGGGGUGUGUAGCCUGUCCAAGGGUACACAAAGAGCCGGCCCAAGUUGGAACCCCCUGGCCGGCUAAACCCAGGAGUCACCCAAGAAAACGUGACCCCACUGCCCUUCUCCCCAGGUCCCUCUGGCCUGCAUGCCAGGAGUCGGUCACCGCCCUGUGCUUCCUCCAAGAGACAGUGGAGAGGCUGGGUCAGUCCCCUGCCCAGGACACCCCGGUCCUGGGGCCUUGCUGGGACCCGAUGGCUCUGGGGACUCAGGGCCGCCUGCUGCUGGACAGGGAUUCCAAGGACACACAGACCAGGAUCAGCCAAAAGGGCCGCCGUCUGCAGCCCCCGGGGACUCCCUCGGCCCCACCCCAGAGAAGGCCCCGGAAACAGCUGAACCCCUGCCGGGGCACCGAGAGAGUGGACCCUGGGUUCGAGGGGGUGACUCUGAAGUUUCAGAUAAAGCCGGACUCCAGCCUGCAGAUCAUCCCCACGUACAGCCUGCCCUGCAGUAGCCGUUCUCAGGAAUCCCCUGCAGAUGCUGUUGGGGGCCCUGCAGCCCACCCAGGAGGCACCGAGGCCCACUCAGCAGGCAGCGAGGCCCUGGAGCCCCGGCGCUGUGCUUCCUGUCGGACCCAGAGGACCCCGCUCUGGAGAGACGCUGAAGAUGGGACCCCUCUCUGCAACGCCUGUGGGAUCAGGUACAAGAAAUACGGCACUCGCUGCUCCAGCUGCUGGCUGGUGCCCAGGAAAAAUGUCCAGCCCAAGAGGCUAUGUGGCAGAUGUGGAGUGUCCCUGGACCCCAUUCAGGAAGGUUAAACCCAGCUUCACCCUGCUGAGCUGCUGCUUCUGCCUCCGUUUCACCAGUGGGAGAAUGGGCAGAAGCAGCUCUCCUAGGAGGAUUGGGGAAAGAGCCGGCCUGCCUCCUCUCUGCCAUCUCCAGAUUCAAGGAUCCCGGGGGAAGACCCAGGCCUCAGGUGGCAGAGCCUGCUAGGGGUCACCAGCCCCUUCUCCAGUCAGCCUUGGCCGAGGCCCCCUCAGGAGACGCUCUCAGGAAGGAUGAGCAUUGUUACAGCAGGGACAAUAAAGUACAGAGAUAUGCCGAGA